AUAGCAUGUUGUCUCUGAUUUUGGUAGCAAAUUGGUGGCUUACGUGUGAGAAAAUUGGCAGCAACAAAGUUGAAUAACUCCUGUGAAACCAAUGGAGUGAAGCUGCAAGUUUGGUUCCUUUCUCCCAAGAAAUCUUGCUGCAAUUUAUUUAAAUGUACCGUAUAUAUCUCCUAUUUCUCUUUCUAGGACCUGCACAUAUUGUAUUGUUUAC
Molecule: long non-coding RNA, 211 nt
Filed under: Coffea arabica (coffee)
Lineage: Eukaryota; Viridiplantae; Streptophyta; Magnoliopsida; Gentianales; Rubiaceae
Description: long non-coding RNA (CARA_LNC004276)
Source: RNAcentral